RNAcentral lists this ribosomal RNA (482 nucleotides) under uncultured bacterium. Its description in RNAcentral is "partial 16S ribosomal RNA". It matches the Rfam family "Bacterial small subunit ribosomal RNA", at positions 30 to 507 of the family's 1533-position model. The record is from RNAcentral.
AUUGAACGCUGGCGGCAUGCCUUACACAUGCAAGUCGAACGGUAACGGGCCUUCGGGUGCCGACGAGUGGCGAACGGGUGAGUAAUACGUCGGAACGUGCCCGAUCGUGGGGGAUAACGAGGCGAAAGCUUUGCUAAUACCGCAUACGAUCUACGGCUGAAAGCAGGGGACCGCAAGGCCUUGCGCGGACGGAGCGGCCGAUGGCAGAUUAGGUAGUUGGUGGGAUAAAAGCUUACCAAGCCGACGAUCUGUAGCUGGUCUGAGAGGAUGAUCAGCCACACUGGAACUGAGACACGGCCCAGACUCCUACGGGAGGCAGCAGUGGGGAAUUUUGGACAAUGGGCGCAAGCCUGAUCCAGCCAUGCCGCGUGCAGGAUGAAGACCUUCGGGUUGUAAACUGCUUUUGUACGGAACGAAAAGCCUUCUUUUAAUACAGGAGGGUCAUGACGGUACCGUAAGAAUAAGCACCGGCUAACUACGUG